GGAUAUAGCUCAGUUGGCAGAGCGUCGGAUUGUGGAUCCGAAUGUCGUGGGUUCGAGCCCCAUUAUC
This 67-nucleotide transfer RNA is filed under the name human gut metagenome. It matches the Rfam family "tRNA". Rfam says of the family: Transfer RNA (tRNA) molecules are approximately 80 nucleotides in length. Their secondary structure includes four short double-helical elements and three loops (D, anti-codon, and T loops). RNAcentral also lists the same sequence under 1 other name. The record is from RNAcentral.